AACCUUAUGGACCUGCGGGCGUAUACCUGCGGAAGGAUCAUUACCGAGUGAGGGCCCUCCGGGUCCAACCUCCCACCCGUGUUUAACGAACCUUGUUGCUUCGGCGGGCCCGCCUCACGGCCGCCGGGGGGCACCCCGCCCCCGGGCCCGCGCCCGCCGAAGACACCUGUGAACGCUGUCUGAAGUUGCAGUCUGAGACACUAGCUCAAUCAGUUAAAACUUUUAGCAACGGAUCUCAGA
Molecule: unclassified non-coding RNA, 240 nt
Filed under: soil metagenome
Description: partial contains 5.8S ribosomal RNA, internal transcribed spacer 2, and large subunit ribosomal RNA
Source: RNAcentral